GCAGGGCCAGCGGUACACUUUGUGCUCUCAGGAGAACAUUUGUUUUCACUUUAAGUGGUGUAGCGAGGUUAAGGGUCACACAUGCACCAGGUUACAUCAGGGGGUAGGAAGGAGCAGGCGGUGGGGGAGGCCAGCAGGGUCCCAGGCAGGGAGGUCACAGCGUGGAGUCCUCGCAGAGGACGAUCUCCAGCUCAGUGCGGUACAGUUUCCCUCCGUCAGACAGAGCCAUGAUGCUCUUCUUGUACCCCACCAGUCCUGUUGAGUCCACGUCCUGCCAGAAACGACACAGUCACACACGAGGUCCUUCAGCAAAGCAUCCAGCUCCUGCUCAUCAAUAUACCCACUACCAUCCUGGUGAAAGAGAACAACAGGAGAGAUGAUCCAUCUUUCGUCUCUAGGAGGGACAAAGAGGGUUUGUUGUCAGACAACAGCUGCAGGAGGAGAGAGAGCGGCUCGUUUGCAUCGCUGCAGCGUCGCUGUGACAGAGAGCAGAUGUUCGCUGUGAUUGCUUAGUGGUGUGUUUAUUUCUACUCUCUUCCUCAUCGAGUUGGAGUUGAAACAUUACUGUCAUCCUCAACAUUCAUGCUGCGUGAAGACUCACACUCCACUUUUCCAAAAUGACCCUGAAAAUGUCAUUUUGUGUUGUGACAUUAUAUUACAAUGACUCCAGAAAUAUAAGACCAUCGUGUAUAAACUGGUUU
Micropterus dolomieu (smallmouth bass) is the source of this 701-nucleotide long non-coding RNA. RefSeq lists it as uncharacterized. The transcript has 3 exons. Lineage: Eukaryota; Metazoa; Chordata; Actinopteri; Centrarchiformes; Centrarchidae. The record is from RefSeq and is a predicted model, not a curated record.